This 438-nucleotide ribosomal RNA is filed under the name Noumeaella rubrofasciata. RNAcentral describes it as "partial large subunit ribosomal RNA". It matches the Rfam family "Bacterial large subunit ribosomal RNA", at positions 1829 to 2597 of the family's 2925-position model. The record is from RNAcentral. Lineage: Eukaryota; Metazoa; Mollusca; Gastropoda; Nudibranchia; Facelinidae.
AGCCAUUAGAUGAUAUUUAUGGUCAAACCUGCCCAAUGUUGUAAUGAAUGGCCGCGGUACCCUGACCGUGCUAAGGUAGCGUAAUCAGUUGGCUUUUAAAUGGAGUCAGGAAUGAAUGGAAAAACCGGGUUUAGCUGUCUCCCUACUACUUUAUUUAAUUUACUGUUUAAGUGAAAAAGCUUAAAUAAAGAAAAGGGACGAGAAGACCCUUAGAAUUUUUUUUUAAGGAGGGAUAAUUUUCUCUAUAAUUUUAUUGGGGCGAUAAGGAAAUAAUUAAAACUUUCCGUUAAAACUUACCAGCCGAUUUUAUUAAGGAAGGAUAAAUUACCUGAGGGAUAACAGCAUAAUUCUACAGUUGAGUUUGUGACCUCGAUGUUGGACUAGGAAACUAACAGGCUAGCCGUUUGUUGUGUGGGUUCUGUUCGAACUUUAAUUCCU